Molecule: non-coding RNA, 158 nt
Filed under: Paracoccaceae bacterium
Lineage: Bacteria; Pseudomonadati; Pseudomonadota; Alphaproteobacteria; Rhodobacterales; Paracoccaceae
Description: Rhodobacteraceae bacterium (subsurface metagenome) 6S RNA
Rfam family: 6S / SsrS RNA
About the family: E. coli 6S RNA was the first non coding RNA to be sequenced, but its function was unknown until recently. It consists of 184 nucleotides that fold into an extended hairpin structure with a large single-stranded internal bulge. The 6S RNA specifically associates with RNA polymerase holoenzyme containing the sigma70 specificity factor.
Source: RNAcentral
CGGGUGCUGACCUUCGCGUGAGAGGCCUACAUCCUAGUGGCCUUAAAUCUUUGAAAGGGAGCUGGCUCUGUGAUUGGUCGUGGCCUAACACACCCGGUGCCCACCUGUGUACGCAGGCUCACAAGGAUAAGUCACCUCCACGGUCGAGACGGGCCCGC